RNAcentral lists this microRNA precursor (136 nucleotides) under Hordeum vulgare. RNAcentral's name for it is "microRNA MIR1122". It matches the Rfam family "MIR1120/MIR1122 microRNA precursor family". Lineage: Eukaryota; Viridiplantae; Streptophyta; Magnoliopsida; Poales; Poaceae. The record is from RNAcentral.
UAUAUACUCCCUCCGUCCCAAAAUUCUUGUCUUAGAUUUGUCAAAAUAUAAAUGUAUCUAGUCAUGUUUUAGUAUUUAGAUACGUUCAUUUUUAAACAAACUUAAAACAAGAAUUUAGGGACGGAGGGAGUAUGAG